This is a long non-coding RNA of Cydia amplana, 476 nucleotides long. RefSeq lists it as uncharacterized. The transcript is spliced from 2 exons. The record is from RefSeq and is a predicted model, not a curated record. NCBI's taxonomy places the organism in Eukaryota, Metazoa, Arthropoda, Insecta, Lepidoptera, Tortricidae.
UAUGGAUAGGUCUUCAAAAAUGAUAUUGAGGUUUCUAAUAUCAUUUUUUUCUAAACUGAAUAGUUUGCGCGAGAGACACUUCCAAAGUGGUAAAAUGUGUGUCCCCCCCCCUGUAACUUCUAAAAUAAGAGAAUGAUAAAACUAAAAAAAAUAUAUGAUGUAGAUUACCAUGUAAACUUUCACCGAAAAUUGGUUUGAGCGAGAUCUAGUAAGUAGUUUUUUUUUUAUACCUACCUAUCUAAGACCUCUUCAAAAAUGAUAUUUAGGUUUCUAAUAUCAUUUUAAUCUAAACUGAAUAGUUUGCGCGAGAGACACUUCCAAAGUGGUAAAAUGUGUGUCCCCCCCCCUGUAACUUCUAAAAUAAGAGAAUGAUAAAACUAAAAAAAAUAUAUGAUGUACAUUACCAUGCAAACUUCCACCGAAAAUUGGUUUGAACCAAAUCUAGUAUGUAGUUUUUUUUUUUAAUACGUCAUAAA